UAAAGCACCGGAUCCGGUGCUUUAGUGCUGGUAUGAUCGGCACCAUCAGAACUCCGAAGUUAAGCGUGCUUGGGCGAGAGUAGUACUAUGAUGGGUGACCUCCUGGAAAGUCCUCGUGGUGCAUUCC
RNAcentral lists this ribosomal RNA (127 nucleotides) under Triticum monococcum (einkorn wheat). Lineage: Eukaryota; Viridiplantae; Streptophyta; Magnoliopsida; Poales; Poaceae. The record is from RNAcentral.